CAGUAGCCACGGUAAUACGUAGGUGGCAAGCGUUGUCCGGAAUUAUUGGGCGUAAAGGGCUCGCAGGCGGUUUCUUAAGUCUGAUGUGAAAGCCCCCGGCUCAACCGGGGAGGGUCAUUGGAAACUGGGAAACUUGAGUGCAGAAGAGGAGAGUGGAAUUCCACGUGUAGCGGUGAAAUGCGUAGAGAUGUGGAGGAACACCAGUGGCGAAGGCGACUCUCUGGUCUGUAACUGACGCUGAGGAGCGAAAGCGUGGGGAGCGAACAGGAUAGAUACCCCUGUAGUCCCUGUCUCUUAUACA
RNAcentral lists this ribosomal RNA (301 nucleotides) under uncultured bacterium. RNAcentral describes it as "partial 16S ribosomal RNA". It matches the Rfam family "Bacterial small subunit ribosomal RNA", at positions 509 to 808 of the family's 1533-position model. The record is from RNAcentral.